GUGAGUCAUCGAAUCUUUGAACGCAUAUUGCGCCCUUUGGUAUUCCGAAGGGCAUGCCUGUUCGAGCGUCAUUAUCAACCAUCAAGCAUGGCUUGUCGUUGGACCUCUAUUGCGAUCGAAAUAUGUCGCAGGUCCGAAAGAUAAUGACGGUGUCGUGUUUGACCCUAGAUGCAACGAGCUUUUUAUAGCAUGCAUUGAAGUGGUCGGGCGACCCAGUCUUUAACCAUUAUAUUCUAAGGUUGACCUCGGAUCAGGUAGGAAUACCCGCUGAACUUAAGCAUAUCAAUAAGCGGAGGA
Molecule: unclassified non-coding RNA, 297 nt
Filed under: Herpotrichiellaceae sp.
Lineage: Eukaryota; Fungi; Ascomycota; Eurotiomycetes; Chaetothyriales; Herpotrichiellaceae
Description: partial contains 5.8S ribosomal RNA, internal transcribed spacer 2, and large subunit ribosomal RNA
Rfam family: 5.8S ribosomal RNA (bases 1-71)
Source: RNAcentral